Molecule: ribosomal RNA, 253 nt
Filed under: uncultured bacterium
Lineage: Bacteria
Description: partial 16S ribosomal RNA
Rfam family: Bacterial small subunit ribosomal RNA
Source: RNAcentral
UACGUAGGGUGCAAGCGUUGUCCGGAAUUAUUGGGCGUAAAGAGCUCGUAGGCGGCUUGUCACGUCGACUGUGAAAACCCGGGGCUCAACUCCGGGCCUGCAGUCGAUACGGGCUGGCUUGAGUGCGGUAGGGGAGACUGGAAUUCCUGGUGUAGCGGUGAAAUGCGCAGAUAUCAGGAGGAACACCGGUGGCGAAGGCGGCAUCCUGGACCGGCAUUGACGCUGAGGAGCGAAAGCCAGGGGAGCAAACGGG